UCUGGGAACUGUUGUAAUAUAUG
This 23-nucleotide non-coding RNA is filed under the name Cricetulus griseus (Chinese hamster). Lineage: Eukaryota; Metazoa; Chordata; Mammalia; Rodentia; Cricetidae. The record is from RNAcentral.